Benincasa hispida (wax gourd) is the source of this 2072-nucleotide RNA transcript. RefSeq lists it as uncharacterized. The record is from RefSeq and is a predicted model, not a curated record. Lineage: Eukaryota; Viridiplantae; Streptophyta; Magnoliopsida; Cucurbitales; Cucurbitaceae.
GACAGCAAAAAACCAAAGGAAGAAAGAGAAUGAAGAAUGACAAAAUUACCAAAGGGAGAAAGAGAAUGAAGAAUGACAAAAUUUGAAGUAUGCAGAGGAAGUGCAGCGAGAGCAAGAUUGAACCUACACGUACCAUAUUCUAUUUUGGUCCUUUUAGGUUGUUAACAUAGUCAGAAGGUAAAUAAAACAGUCGUUCGUGCGAGAAACCCACAAAGUAUCUGUAACAUAGAAAGGCGAAAUUCUGAAUUUUGAUUUAGCAGCGCGGUCAAGCUAGGGGAUACGUGUAUCAAAUACCGGUCAAUUCUUUAGCAAGCAUAACUGAAAGGGCUGAAACCCGAGCAGCUCGAAAACGAGAGAAGACAAUGGGGAGCAGAACAAAUUUCUACAAGAAUACUUCCAUCUCCUACAAGAAGGACUUGAACCUCUCCUCCGCUCUUCAAAACCUAAGAGCGUAUAACAUUGCUACCGGCAAUGCUCCUCCGACCGAUGUUGGACCACCUCCUGUCGUGAAGAAGAAUGAGAACCGGAAACGCCAUCGGGAGCCGGAAUUAUCUGGUAGUCCAAAGUAUGAUGUUGGAAAUAGUGACGGCCCUAUGUCUCAUCAAGAUUACAUUGAAAGGAGAAGAAAAGAAGCAAAUAAAUCUCAACCUUAUGAGACACUUACAGAAGAUGUUUUGGGAACUUCCAGCUUGGGCUUGAACUUGGUCGAAUAUGAAAGUGAUGAGAGCACAUCUUCAGAAAAUGCAGUAAAGCCGGAUCAUCCAAAUUCCAGUCUCUUGAAUGAUUACGAGGACGUGAAAAGCAAAACUGAGCAACGUCUUGCCAUUGCGGGAGAACCUGUUUGUGUAGUAUGUGGUAGAUAUGGAGAAUACAUAUGCGAUGAAACCAAUGAUGACAUCUGCGGCAUGGAAUGCAAACUCAAGCUUUUGGAAAUUCUUAAAUGGAGCGAGGAGUCCUCAAACUGCAAAGUGAAAGAUGUUGCAUUACCAGAAAGUAAAUAUAUCCUGCCUUCCCCAGAGUUCGGGGAGGACACCUGGGAUUAUAAGAACCAUCACUGGUCCAAAAAGAAAUCUAAUCUUUGUACUUAUGAAUGCUGGAAAUGUCAAAAGCCGGGACACCUUGCUGAAGAUUGUUUGGUGAAAAUCAGUAGCCAGAUAGUGCGACAAACGACUUCCAAUCCUGUACCUGGCGAUCUCCUUGGAUUAUAUAAAAGAUGUUACCAGAUAGGAAAGAAUGUGUCAAAUGCGCUGUGCAAUGAAUGCAGCUGUUCAUUUAGUUUGGCGACAUGUCUUGAUUGUAGCACUGUUUACUGUGACAGUGCAGGUCAUUUAAAUGAGCACAUCCACAGACACCCAACUCAUGGACUAUAUUAUUCGCAUAAACUCAAACGUCUUGUAAGUGUACAAAUCAAUAUCUACGUUGUUAUCUAUGUCAAUUUCUACCUUGUUUUUUGUGUAUACCGCUGUAGUGGCUUUCCGUGGAUAAGUUCAUCUUGACCCUAGAUGAAGUUAAAUAACUAUUCAAUGGUAAUACUUAGCUUUACACUUUAGAAGUAAAUUUUUCUGUAUACAUUCCUUUUAUUAGAUUUUUUCUGCAUAAACUUUUUUUUUAAUAUUUGCUACUACCACCAAGAUCUGUACCGACGGCCGCUCCGCCUGGGCUCACACAUAAGGUUUUGCAGUGACCGCCACGCCCUUCUACUCAUCGGGGCUUGGCUCUUGCCCCAACAGCCGGGUAUAGGUCGCACACUUCAGCAUUUUUUCUGCAUAAACUGAAACUGCGAGGAACUUAAUAUUGGCUUUCUUUUUGAUAAAGAAAUGUCAAAUGUUAUAUUCUUUAUGUAAAAGGGUGAUUGAGAUUGAUUGAGGCUGGGGCUGCAUCCAGUUUAGCCAACGAGGUUCAAAGAUGAUUUUUUCAAGAUGCAUAUACCUGAAAACAAAUCUUCCUUUGUUUAAUUGGGUAAAAUGCUGCAAAUCAACAUGCAGGGUGACUCACAUCAAGGAUCUUCUGGUCUGUCAUUACUGUUUUGAUAAAGCUUUCGACAAGUUCUAUGAUAUGUAUACUGCAUCUUG